UGGGGAAUAUUGCACAAUGGGCGCAAGCUUGAUGCAGCGACGCCGCGUGGAGGAAGAAGGUCUUUGGAUUGUAAACUCCUGUUAAGUGGGAAAAAAGACGUUUAUUUAAAAGAUGAGCGGGAUGAUGGUACCACUAGAGAAAGCACCGGCAAACUUCGUGCCAGCAGCCGCGGUAAUACGAAGGGUGCAAGCGUUAUUCGGAGUAACUGGGCGUAAAGAGCGCAUAGGCGGAUUAUUAAGUUAUUCGUUAAAUCUCCUGGCUUAACCGGGAAAGGGCGGGUAAAACUGGUAGUCUAGAGUGUAAGAGAGAGAAGUGGAAUUCUCGGAGUAGCGGUAAAAUGCGUAGAUCUCGAGAGGAACACCGGAGGCGAAGGCGGCUUCUUGGCUUACAACUGACGCUCAAGCGCGAAAGCGUGGGGAGCAAACAGG
This 429-nucleotide ribosomal RNA is filed under the name uncultured bacterium. RNAcentral describes it as "bacterial SSU rRNA". It matches the Rfam family "Bacterial small subunit ribosomal RNA", at positions 355 to 776 of the family's 1533-position model. The record is from RNAcentral.